GCCGCUUUCCAGUCCUCACGGAAGUUCGUCUGCACUCUGCAGUCUGCUGCCAAAAAUGGCCGUCGUUGGUUAAGGCUGAUUGGUUUUUCUUGGUUUUCACUUUUCCGGUUCCUGACGUUUUCCCUGAAUCUGGAAAAACCAAACCUUUGUCGCACACAGGCUAAACCCAUAAUGUGGGUGAUAGAGACUCAACGAAGAAAGUUCAGAAGAUCUUGGUGCAAAGUCUGCAUGGUGGUUCCCUCAUUCCUCAACAACUUAUGACAGUGUCACCCAAGAAUAGCUCAGGGGCAUGCAGAUGCUGGCUUGUAGCAACUAGCAAGCAGAAAGCAGUAACGGGUGCAACUGCUACAGUUUUCACUGUGGUUGUUAGUCUGCAACUGUCACCUCCAUCUGCUACUCUUAGUGUUGCUGUUACCGCUACACUUACACCGACCCGAGGACGCUGGGCACUCGCGACUGCGAGGAAUGCAUAAGCUUGUCACAUCCACUUGUCUAGUACUUUGGCUGAAUAUGAAACUGCUAAUAAUAAUUGUUUCUUUUAUUUGUUAAGGCACAUGACUGAAACCAUUUUGUGUGUUUAAAUUAAGUGAUG
Long non-coding RNA from Daphnia pulicaria, 592 nucleotides. RefSeq lists it as uncharacterized. The record is from RefSeq and is a predicted model, not a curated record. NCBI's taxonomy places the organism in Eukaryota, Metazoa, Arthropoda, Branchiopoda, Diplostraca, Daphniidae. The transcript is spliced from 2 exons.